CUCGUUUGUGAGUGCGGAGAACGAUGGAUGACUCACGCCGUGCAAUGCAGAUUCUGGAUGGGGAGGUAGGUGAAGGCUCGGCAGGAAGGAAGAGGUGAAAACAAUGGGAUAUGCCUGGCUCCCUGUAUGCCACUCGCGUAGCUGCCAACUCCCCAAACCUUGCGUUGGCUCUACCGCGGAUGGCGUGCGAGGAGCCAAGCAUGACCGUCUCUCUCUCUCUCUCUCUCUCUCUCUCUCUCUCUCUCUCUCUCUCUCUCUCUCUCUCUCUCUCUGUUUGUUGCUUUAGAUUCUUAUACAAACUAACCGCAUCAUGCAUGUGAUGGUAUGUGCAAGCAGCUAGCGAUGAUGGUAGGGAGUACUCCAAGAUCUACACAGUACUUUUGUACGUACGUUUGGCAUAAUCUGUGUCCUUGUGAAUGCAUGGUAAGCAUACGUAAAGUAGAUUUGGUUUCCAGCGUGUAAACAACAAUCUGUAUACUAAUCAAUCUAAGCCUCCUUAAGACCUUAACUGUCUAAGUUCAUAUGCAACCCUCAUCGAGUGCAGCAACUGUUCAGCUGACUAUGUAUUGACCAUUUUUUCUUUGUUUUUUGAAUCGAUCGUCAGUUCAUUUUGUUUUGCUUGUAGUUUGUACGGCGCUGCAGGACGGCAGAUAUGUAUGUACAAGUAUCAUUCAAGCACUUGCAUGGCUCCAUCUCAUUAAUCAUCCAGAUCCCAGAGGGGAUCUACACAUACUUUUCAUGGUGCUGGUCGAUACCUGACCCGGCUGGCGUACAGGCUCCAAUGUCAAUGCAUCUGCGCAUCUAUAUAUCAGCAGAAAAGCUAGAUGUAUAUAUAUAUAGCUCGCUCGUCAGACCAUAUGCAUGCAUUGAUCUUACUUAGUCGUUUGCUCCUGAUCCAGAUGGUCAAAAUCAUGUACACAUUGAGAUUUCACCUUUCUUGUAAGAACAUGUUCUAUAUCCUUGGUGUGUUCCAUUCACGAAUAUUCAAUGAAUUAAGCCGAAAUACUGUACUAGCUUUUCUCAUCUGGAAUGAGAAAAAAAACUACUUGUAUGCUUGUUGUUCUUCCGUACACAAUUCCUUCUUUUUCCUUGAGAGAAGGGCACAUAUUGA
This 1111-nucleotide long non-coding RNA is filed under the name Triticum aestivum (bread wheat). Its description in RNAcentral is "long non-coding RNA (TAES_LNC007915)". The stretch from base 109 to 204 matches the Rfam family "mir-160 microRNA precursor family". The record is from RNAcentral. Lineage: Eukaryota; Viridiplantae; Streptophyta; Magnoliopsida; Poales; Poaceae.